RNAcentral lists this ribosomal RNA (443 nucleotides) under uncultured bacterium. RNAcentral's name for it is "partial 16S ribosomal RNA". It matches the Rfam family "Bacterial small subunit ribosomal RNA", at positions 338 to 795 of the family's 1533-position model. The record is from RNAcentral.
CCUACGGGUGGCUGCAGUGGGGAAUAUUGCGCAAUGGGGGCAACCCUGACGCAGCAACGCCGCGUGCAGGAAGAAGGUCUUCGGAUUGUAACCUGUUGUCGCAGGGGAAGAAGACAGUGACGGUACCCUGUGAGCAAGUCACGGCUAACAACUUGCCAGCAGCCGCGGUAAUACGUAGGUGACACGCGUUGUCCGGAUUUACUUGGUGUAAAGGGCGCGUAGGCGGGAUAGCAAGUCAGUCGUGAAAUGCCGAGGCUUAACCUCGGAGCUGCGAUUGAAACUGUUAUUCUUGAGUAUCGGAGAGGAAAGAGGAAUUCCGAGUGUAGCGGUGAAAUGCGUAGAUAUUAGGAGGAACACCAGUGGCGAAGGCGGCUGGCUGGACGACAACUGACGCUGAGGCGCGAAAGUGUGGGGAGCAAACAGGAUUAGAUACCCGAGUAGUC